This 29-nucleotide non-coding RNA is filed under the name Rattus norvegicus (Norway rat). The record is from RNAcentral. Lineage: Eukaryota; Metazoa; Chordata; Mammalia; Rodentia; Muridae.
UGAGAUGUUUUGAUGCUUAAUAACUCACC